Molecule: long non-coding RNA, 1589 nt
Organism: Apodemus sylvaticus (European woodmouse)
Lineage: Eukaryota; Metazoa; Chordata; Mammalia; Rodentia; Muridae
Exons: 5
Source: RefSeq, a predicted model, not a curated record
UCUUGCUGUGAAGGAUAAGGCUAUGGGUAGAGCUAGCAAGCCACCCACCCAGCCCUGCCUCAGUGAUGCUCUGGGCAGUACCCUGGGGAAGCUCCCUGUCCACCCCCAGAAGCAGAGAAGAAAAGCAUUGAUUCUGCAGACCUUCUUGGCUCACAUCCCUGAAGCCUUCGAGAAGUUGGCAAAGCUGAUUUGGAGGAGAGGAACAAGCUCCUCAUCUUCUUGCUCAACCCCUACUGGCUCACCAGGAUGCAGUAACUAUGGCCUCUCUUGGGAGCAUUUCCUCCCUUCAAUUUUAGGUCCUAACUGGGCUAAACUCCCAAACCUCAGCUGCUUCUUGCGGGUCUAAAUGAGACAUGGUCCCUAGUGCAGCAUCUACCUGUCUAGUGAUGUCCUACCUCUCCUUUGUCAGGGCAGCUUCCAAAAUGUAAAGAUGAGCCCUUAGAUGGCAGGAGGGACUGAACUGGGGACCCACACUGCAAUCUAAAGAAGGAACCAGGGACCAAGUGUAAGGAAGGGCAAACAAAAAACCUCAGGGGAGGGGCACAGGCAGAAGCAGAGCAUCCCCCCCCCAAAACAAAGAGGGCAGGGUGAAGCUCACUGCAGGUUCUCAGCUGAGGACAGAAGCUCCAGUAGAAUUCUGUCUGGAGCCAGAAUCAGUGUCGAGCUUUCCUUCAAGAACCUUCUCUUCUGGCUGCAGAGAGGAGAAAAAUGGGGCCGGUGGGUACCUUUGGAUUCCAUGGUCCAGACCAGGACACUGGGAGUGCUCAGGCUUCUCAGGCUGUUGGUUUUUGUCUGCUUAUGUAUGUAUGUAUGUAUGUAUGUAUGUAUGUAUGUAUGUAUGUACGUACGUAUAUACCUACAUACACAUACAUGUAUGUGUGUAUGUAUGCAUGCAUGCAUAUAUUUAUAGAAUCUUAUGUAGCCCCAGUUGGCCUUCAACUCACUAUGUAAGUGAAGUUGCUCUUGAACUCCAGAUCCUCAUGUCUCUGCCUCCUGAGUGCUGGGAUUACAGCAGAUCCAAGGCACAUAUGGAAUAUUCUGCUUGGCACCUCAUCCUUGACAUCACCACCGACUGGAUUGCUACUGUUGUAUUCUCUCAGAGGCUCAGUACCCUAAGGUUCCCAGUUGGACUUCCAAUACUGCUGGUGCCUGCCAAGUGAUUCCCUAAGGGAGAAAUAGGCAAAGGGAGAGUGCAAACACAGUCCCCCACUACCACAAAUUAUGCAGCUGAGUUUCCCGUAUUUGGGGAAAUCGCAGGGAUCAGCACAUCCGGAGUGCAAUGGAUAAGCGUCGCCCUGGGAAACCCACCUUUGUGAUCAUGGUAUCUCCCCUGCCAGGCUGCAGUCUCCAUGCCUUCCAUCAGCAGAGAAAACAUCACAGUGCCUCAGUCAAGGAGAAGCAGGGGCUGAGCCUGUGUUUGACUAGCAGCCAGCCCCCUGCCCAGGCCCCACAUCAUCAGCAGACGGCAGGGCGUGGGGGGAGUGGAAAGCAGCUGGGUGGCCCCUCCCAGGCUGCUGUCUGCUUUCUUUUGCCCCCUUGGCAAGAGGGGAAGAGGAAAAAAGAAUAAUUAAACCCAAACGUUUUGGUAA